UUGGAAGUUCUGUGUUUGAAUCUCUGUGCAAGCGAGAAUGCUAAUCCUUUUACUCGGUUUCCUGGAAGAGUUGUGUAGAAGAUGGAUUCUGAGUAGUGGAUUGUUAGUGGGUAGUUAAUUGAGAGAAGAUAGGGGAGUUGGGAUUUGAGGAGUUAUCAGGAUUAUUUUUGUUUUUUUAUUCUUUUAAAAAUUUGUUUCUCUCUCUUUCUUUCUAAAAUUCUGACGUUGACUUUCUUCUUCACUUUUCUUCUUCGAUUUUUCACGUCUUCCAGUUGGAUUUUUCGCAGUCAAUCAUCGCUCUUGC
RNAcentral lists this long non-coding RNA (304 nucleotides) under Gossypium raimondii (Peruvian cotton). Its description in RNAcentral is "long non-coding RNA (GRAI_LNC003844)". Lineage: Eukaryota; Viridiplantae; Streptophyta; Magnoliopsida; Malvales; Malvaceae. The record is from RNAcentral.